GACCUUGUGGAAGUCGGAGUCUCUUUAAUUAACCUAACACCGUAACAGCUUCAGGGAAAGGGAGAGUUCCAAGUCAAGAAUUCUGUGUAUUACCCAAGUAUUGAAAGUAAGCUUGACCACUAUGGGACAGACACCAAAGGGCCUGCUGGCUGAUGGGGAACAGGCCUGCGGGAGCUCUGUGGAGCGACGGAACGUUCUGCAUCAUGUUUGGGUGGUUACACUGGUGGGUGCAACUGUGAAAACUCACCCAGCUGAGCAGUUGAGAACUGUGCAUAUUAUCUUGUGUGGACUACACCUCAAAAAACCAUGGAACACAGGCGAGUCCUGGUCUCUGAGAGCUGCACCCAAAUUCUUUAAGUCUAACUGGUGUGAUGGAUGGACAUGGAGUCUGAGGUUUGCUGCAAAGUGAAGGUAGAUGCACGGCUGCUGGUGUUUCCCCGAGACAAGCCCAGGCCGCCCACCGCGAGUUUCGAGUUCCGUGGUGUGUCCGUGAUGCUCCUCCCACCUGGAUGUGGCCUCGUCCCUCCCCCUAAAUCGCUCUUGUAACCAUCAGAAUGUGGCAGAGGUGACUUCUGAGGCUGGGCCAGGACAGGCUCAUUGGAAGGCUCGCUGGGGGCUGGAGCCUGGAGCCCGGAGCCCCGAGCUGCCCCCUGGUGGAGGUGCUGCAGUCAGCGGUCCCAUCCCUGAGCCCUCCAGCCAGAGUCAAGCAGAAGCCAGUGUCGGUCAGCAGCCCUGUGAGUGGCCACCUUGAAUGUCCUGCAAGGAGAAUCAUUCCAUACGCAAUUUUUAAUCAACACAUAUUACUUUAAAUUAAAUAUUCUUAACCCUUUAAGUAGUUGCAAUAUAUGAAACACUUGUAUAAAACAAUGUGAAAAAAUAAAUUCCCCACUUGAAACUAAAUGGAGAAUAGGAUGA
This is a long non-coding RNA of Myotis brandtii (Brandt's bat), 915 nucleotides long. RefSeq lists it as uncharacterized. The record is from RefSeq and is a predicted model, not a curated record. The transcript is spliced from 2 exons. NCBI's taxonomy places the organism in Eukaryota, Metazoa, Chordata, Mammalia, Chiroptera, Vespertilionidae.